GAUGAACGCUGGCGGCGUGCUUAACACAUGCAAGUCGAACGAAGCGACUGUGAUUGAGACUUCGGUGGAUUGACCAGUUGACUUAGUGGCGGACGGGUGAGUAACGCGUGGGUAACCUGCCUUACACAGGGGGAUAACAGUUAGAAAUGACUGCUAAUACCGCAUAACCCGCUAAGAUCGCAUGAUCUGUGCGGAAAAGAUUUAUCGGUGUAAGAUGGACCCGCGUCUGAUUAGCUGGUUGGUGGGGUAACGGCCCACCAAGGCGACGAUCAGUAGCCGGCCUGAGAGGGUGAACGGCCACAUUGGGACUGAGACACGGCCCAA
RNAcentral lists this ribosomal RNA (324 nucleotides) under uncultured bacterium. RNAcentral describes it as "bacterial SSU rRNA". It matches the Rfam family "Bacterial small subunit ribosomal RNA", at positions 28 to 334 of the family's 1533-position model. The record is from RNAcentral.